This 499-nucleotide ribosomal RNA is filed under the name uncultured bacterium. RNAcentral describes it as "bacterial SSU rRNA". It matches the Rfam family "Bacterial small subunit ribosomal RNA", at positions 30 to 524 of the family's 1533-position model. The record is from RNAcentral.
AUUGAACGCUGGCGGCAGGCCUAACACAUGCAAGUCGAGCGGUAGAGAGGUGCUUGCAUCUCUUGAGAGCGGCGGACGGGUGAGUAAUGCCUAGGAAUCUGCCUAGUGGUGGGGGAUAACGUUCGGAAACGGACGCUAAUACCGCAUAUGUCCUACGGGAGAAAGCGGGGGAUCUUCGGACCCCGCGCCAUUAGAUGAGCCUAGGUCGGAUUAGCUAGUUGGUGAGGUAAUGGCUCACCAAGGCGACGAUCCGUAACUGGUCUGAGAGGAUGAUCAGUCACACUGGAACUGAGACACGGUCCAGACUCCUACGGAGGCAGCAGUGGGAAUAUUGGACAAUGGGCGAAAGCCUGAUCCAGCCAUGCCGCGUGUGUGAAGAAGGUCUUCGGAUUGUAAAGCACUUUAAGUUGGGAGGAAGGGUAGUAACCUAAUACGUUGCUACUUUGACGUUACCGACAGAAUAAGCACCGGCUAACUUCGUGCCAGCAGCCGCGGUAAU